This 470-nucleotide ribosomal RNA is filed under the name Salmonella enterica. RNAcentral describes it as "partial 23S ribosomal RNA". It matches the Rfam family "Bacterial large subunit ribosomal RNA", at positions 1 to 510 of the family's 2925-position model. Lineage: Bacteria; Pseudomonadati; Pseudomonadota; Gammaproteobacteria; Enterobacterales; Enterobacteriaceae. The record is from RNAcentral.
GGUUAAGCGACUAAGCGUACACGGUGGAUGCCCUGGCAGUCAGAGGCGAUGAAGGGCGUGCUAAUCUGCGAUAAGCGCCGGUAAGGUGAUAUGAACCGUUAUAACCGGCGAUACCCGAAUGGGGAAACCCAGUGUGAUUCGUCACACUAUCAUUAACUGAAUCCAUAGGUUAAUGAGGCGAACCGGGGGAACUGAAACAUCUAAGUACCCCGAGGAAAAGAAAUCAACCGAGAUUCCCCCAGUAGCGGCGAGCGAACGGGGAGGAGCCCAGAGCCUGAAUCAGCAUGUGUGUUAGUGGAAGCGUCUGGAAAGGCGCGCGAUACAGGGUGACAGCCCCGUACACAAAAGCGUAUGUGCUGUGAGCUCGAUGAGUAGGGCGGGACACGUGGUAUCCUGUCUGAAUAUGGGGGGACCAUCCUCCAAGGCUAAAUACUCCUGACUGACCGAUAGUGAACCAGUACCGUGAGGGA